Molecule: long non-coding RNA, 1583 nt
Filed under: Marmota monax (woodchuck)
Lineage: Eukaryota; Metazoa; Chordata; Mammalia; Rodentia; Sciuridae
Source: RNAcentral
UGUAAAACCAGCAGUUGGAGCAAAACACCAGGAAGCUGGGAAUUCCUGGCCCAGAGAUGGAGAGGUACCUGUAUGGAAGUUCUACAGGUAGCAGGUGACACAGUUCUUGGUGGAGACCCAGGGUAAAGGGUUGAGGUUCUCUCUGGGGGUGCUGCUUCCUGAGCUCUUGCAGAAUAAUUGGUGUAUCUCCAGGUCUCCUCAGACUUGACUUUGUGUCUGAGCAGGUGCCCUUGAGGCCUCUGCUUCACCUGUCCUGACCAUAGCACUGCUCAAGUCUGCAGGUAAAUCACAUCUUUCUCUACUCCCUCCCAGAACUUCUGGAUUCUGAUUUUCCAAUGGCCCUUGUUUAUAAGUGCUUUAUGGUAAAGUGUAUUUGAGAUGGUCUAGUCUAUCUCACAAGUCAAUGUGAAGAAGGAAAAAAGGCUGGUCUUAAAUACAGCAGGAAACAAACAAACAAACAAAAAAAGAAAUAAAAAAAAUAAAGAUGGAGUAUGGACCAAAAAAGAAAUAGUAAUUAUUUCUCAGAGGGAGAGUUUAGCGUCAAAGCUGCCAUUAGAAUCAAUUACUAUUGGGUUUCAGCAUUACAUUCCAACUUAGAUUUCAUUGAAAUGCUUAUUUUGUGUGUGAGUGUAUGUGUGUGUAUUAAGAAGAAAAAUUUUAUAUGUGCAUUUUUUAUUAAACUAGCUUAUUUGUAGUUCAACCUAAGAAUCCACUAGGUACUUUUCCUGUGAUUGACUCAUGUCAGUGUGUAUUUAACGCAGCAUGGAAAAGCAGUAUUAAGCUGUUAGGUAAUGUCGCUCCGUAUCAGUUUCAGGUAUGAUCAUGUGAAUAGUGAGAAGUAUAAUAGCUGUGCUUAUAUCUUGGCAGCAGAUGGCUUUUCACUCCUGCCUCAUUUCUCUGAGGCUCUGCAAAGGCCAACCACAUAAAAUGACUUCUGCAUCUCCAUUCAAACCUCCCGACGUAGUGCCAUUUUUUGUUGGACCUUGUACACCUGCUUUCACUAGGCUCGGGUCUCAUAAAACUGUCAAUGGAACCCUUUCACCAGAAUACAUUAGCAUUGCUUAAAGGGUUGUGCAUCACUUUUUUUGACUGCUGUAAGUCGUUUUAAGCAGAACUUAAAAGGGUUAAUUGAUUGGCCCUCCUUUAAGGGGAUACUAAUACAGAUUGACAUCAGCAAUUUUAGUGACACAUUGAACAUGUGCAUAAUCCUCUUCUUGAUGAGCGUGUGUAUGUGCUCACAAGAGUCAAAUAUCUAUGGAGACAUUAAGAACAGAGAAAGGGGAACACUCAACUUAUUGGAGAGAAUGGAGAGAAGAGAAGCAGGGAUAAGUUGGAAGAGGGAAAAAAAAAAAGAAAAGAAAAGAAACCUUCAAUUCACAUGGCAUUAUUAAGGAGCAGACAAACAGAAUCUUCCGGGACUCAACAUUUCUGAGAUAAUCAUGUAAAAGAUGAAACCCUGAAGCCUGUUACUAGAAACUGGGUGUGUUUUAGGUGUAAGAGGAAAAGGAAGAUUGCUUAACACUGUAGAACUUGAGAUGGGUUAUUAAGAGGGAGAGGAAGGCUGCUGUGGGGGCAGGCACGGA